Molecule: ribosomal RNA, 253 nt
Filed under: uncultured bacterium
Lineage: Bacteria
Description: partial 16S ribosomal RNA
Rfam family: Bacterial small subunit ribosomal RNA
Source: RNAcentral
UACGUAGGUGGCGAGCGUUGUCCGGAUUUACUGGGCGUAAAGAGCGCGCAGGCGGUCGUUCAAGUCGCGUGUGAAAGCCCCCGGCUCAACUGGGGAGGGUCACGCGAUACUGAUCGACUCGAAGGCAGGAGAGGGAAGUGGAAUUCCCGGUGUAGCGGUGAAAUGCGCAGAUAUCGGGAGGAACACCAGUAGCGAAGGCGGCACUCUGGGCCGGUACUGACGCUGAGGAGCGAAAGCGUGGGGAGCGAACAGG